Molecule: small RNA, 153 nt
Filed under: Arabidopsis thaliana (thale cress)
Lineage: Eukaryota; Viridiplantae; Streptophyta; Magnoliopsida; Brassicales; Brassicaceae
Description: ATSL265930
Source: RNAcentral
AAGUACCUCACUUCACCGUUGUAUAGUACCAUCUCCUAUUUUUGUUUCUGUGCUGUGUUUUUCCUGAGUACUCUUUUCCAAAUUUGGUCACACAGAGGAUUGUGUGAUUUAAGUUUGGGGGAGGGCUCAAGUGUGUGUUGCAUUGUAUAUACU